Molecule: long non-coding RNA, 541 nt
Organism: Galeopterus variegatus (Sunda flying lemur)
Lineage: Eukaryota; Metazoa; Chordata; Mammalia; Dermoptera; Cynocephalidae
Exons: 2
Source: RefSeq, a predicted model, not a curated record
CUGGGGAUCUUGUUAAACUGCAGAUUCCGAUUCAUUGGGUCAGUAGUGAAGACUGAGAGUUUACAUUUCUCACAUCCCUGGAGAGCUGCUGCUGGUCUAUACAGGGCUCAUCAGAAUGUCCUGGGGAUUUUUUCCGGAGCUGGCAAGUGAGAUGCUUUUGCAAGUGAGGCCACUUCAUCUGAGUUUCAGGAGCUCAAGGGAAUUGGGAGUAUUAGUGGCUACUGAUGAAGAAGAGAAAAACUGCAGGUUAUCAUCAUUCACCCAAUUCUCUAGAAAAAAGAAAUCAAGAGAAGAUGCAAGAUAUAAAAAGACCAAAUCAUCCUCUGUUCUUUCCUUCUAAUAGCCCACCAGACUGAGAGGUAUAGCUGAGUAGAACUACAUGUAACACUGUUUUUAACAUUUCACCAUAAAUGCUCCAAACUCUGGGUCCCUCCUGCUUUGUCACCAUUUCCUAGCCAACUGAAAUGAAUUUAGCAGAGUGCACUUUUGUUUAUAUGUUUGAAAUAUUAAAAAUUAAAGUUACUUGCUUUCUUAAAAAAAA